Molecule: long non-coding RNA, 559 nt
Filed under: Ananas comosus (pineapple)
Lineage: Eukaryota; Viridiplantae; Streptophyta; Magnoliopsida; Poales; Bromeliaceae
Description: long non-coding RNA (ACOM_LNC020179)
Source: RNAcentral
AGCAGAGUAUAAUCCAGAGAUGGACGUGUAGGUAAUGGCGGAAUUGGUGCCAUUGCUGAAAGAUGAAGUAAAAAUCUUAAGUAAGAAGAAGAAGAAAAUGGGCCAAGCCAAAAAGUAGGGAUGAAGAAGGAUGUGAAGAAGAAGAAGAAAAGCAAAAGAAGAUGAAGAAGACAAAAGAUCUGAUAAUAAAAGGGAAUGAGAAGCUUGGCGAAGAAGAAAAGUUGGCCGUCGCGUCGAAUCGUCGCAUCGAAGCGAGUCCCGAGGUCGGCUAUAAUGAUGAAUAGACGGCGGCAAUUAAGAUGACCUAAUUAAUGCCGCAUGUAAGACAAAAAUAGAUGGCGAGAUCGUGGCUGUAGAAAAGAAUUGAACGGCCGAAAGUAACCCGUACAGAGGGUUUUGAAAUUGAGGAUCGCACUUCGAUUACGUUAGAGAAUUUGAAAUUAAUUGGAUCGAGAAACAAGCCUCGGAUUGCGUUUGUUAUUGAAGCGAUGGCGGGAUUUUAGCAAUAGAAAGAAGUGGACGGUUGAGACGAAACCGUACCAGGAAUUUGAAAAGCAAU